Molecule: ribosomal RNA, 427 nt
Filed under: uncultured bacterium
Lineage: Bacteria
Description: bacterial SSU rRNA
Rfam family: Bacterial small subunit ribosomal RNA
Source: RNAcentral
GAUGAACGCUGGCGGCGUGCCUAACACAUGCAAGUCGAGCGAUUCUCUUCGGAGAAGAGCGGCGGACGGGUGAGUAACGCGUGGGUAACCUACCCUGUACACACGGAUAACAUACCGAAAGGUAUGCUAAUACGGGAUGAUAUAUAGAAAUCGCAUGAUUUUUAUAUCAAAGAUUUAUCGGUACAGGAUGGAUCCGCGUCUGAUUAGCUUGUUGGCGGGGUAACGGCCCACCAAGGCGACGAUCAGUAGCCGACCUGAGAGGGUGAUCGGCCACAUUGGAACUGAGACACGGUCCAAACUCCUACGGGAGGCAGCAGUGGGGAAUAUUGCACAAUGGGCGCAAGCCUGAUGCAGCAACGCCGCGUGAGCGAUGAAGGCCUUCGGGUCGUAAAGCUCUGUCCUCAAGGAAGACAAUGACGGUACUGAG